AAUACAUGCAUGUCGAACGAAGCACUUGUGCUUAGUGGCAAAUGGGCGCAGUGAUACACGUACUGAAUCUACCGCCAAGUUUGGGAUAACAGUAGGAAACACAUUGCAUGAUACCAGGAUACAUACAAGUGUUGCAUACUGCUUAUAUAAACGGAGCGUUAGAUUCGCUACGUGAUGAGAGCGCGCUUGCUUCGUUGCUCGGGUGCGUCGUAGCCCAUGCAUACAUUGAUCGCUCGCGGGGCUGAGAAGCUGAGCCACGAUACAGCUCUAGAGAUACGGCCCAGACUCCUACGGGAGGCAGCAGUAGGGAAUAUUCCACAAUGAGCGAAAGCUUGAUGGAGCAACACAGCGUGCAGGAAGACGACCUUAGGGUUGUAAACUGCUGUUAUGAGGGAAGAAAAAUAAAAUUAGGAAAUGAAUUAUACAUGACGGUACCUCAUCAGAAAGCACCGGCAAACUAUGUGCCAGCAGCCGCGGUAAUACAUAGGGUGCAAGCGUUAUCCGGAAUUAUUGGGCGUAAAGUGUCUGUAGGUGGUAUGUUAAGUCUAGUGUUAAAGACUAGGGCCCAACCCUAGCACGCUCUAGAUACUGACAUGCUAGAGUCAUAGAG
Molecule: ribosomal RNA, 610 nt
Filed under: uncultured bacterium
Lineage: Bacteria
Description: bacterial SSU rRNA
Rfam family: Bacterial small subunit ribosomal RNA
Source: RNAcentral